RNAcentral lists this unclassified non-coding RNA (329 nucleotides) under soil metagenome. RNAcentral's name for it is "partial contains 5.8S ribosomal RNA, internal transcribed spacer 2, and large subunit ribosomal RNA". The stretch from base 1 to 120 matches the Rfam family "5.8S ribosomal RNA", at positions 35 to 154 of the family's 154-position model. The record is from RNAcentral.
GAUGAAGAACGUAGCGAAAUGCGAUAAGUAAUGUGAAUUGCAGAAUUCAGUGAAUCAUCGAAUCUUUGAACGCACAUUGCGCCCCCUGGUAUUCCGGGGGGCAUGCCUGUCCGAGCAUCAUUACAACCCUCAAGCUCAGCUUGGUGUUGGGCCCCGCCGCCCCGGCGGGCCCUAAAGUCAGUGGCGGUGCCGUCCGGCUCCGAGCGUAGUAAUUCUUCUCGCUCUGGAGGUCCGGUCGUGUGCUCGCCAGCAACCCCCAAUUUUUUUCAGGUUGACCUCGGAUCAGGUAGGGAUACCCGCUGAACUUAAGCAUAUCAAUAAGCGGAGGA